This is a long non-coding RNA of Anopheles coustani, 435 nucleotides long. RefSeq lists it as uncharacterized. The record is from RefSeq and is a predicted model, not a curated record. Lineage: Eukaryota; Metazoa; Arthropoda; Insecta; Diptera; Culicidae. The transcript is spliced from 4 exons.
UAUUUAGUAUCUCGUUUUAGGUUUUAUCCAUAGAUUAUCCAUCGGGUGAUGGUAAUAAAACAGGAUUCGAGUUGGACUAUCUGUUGACGUGCUGGUUUUAUCCAUACAUUGUCCAUCGAGUGAUGGUAAUAAAACAGGAUUCGAGAUGGACUAUCUGUUGACGUGCUGGUUUUAUCCAUAGAUUGUCCAUCGGGUGAUGGUAAUAAAACAGGAUUCGAGUUGGACUAUCUGUUGACGUGCUGGUUUUAUCCAUAGAUUGUCCAUCGGGUGAUGGUGAUAAAACAGGAUUCGAGUUGGACUAUCUGUUGUCGUGCUGGUAGGUUUUUAUUUAAUAGUUUUAUUUAGUAUCUCGGUAUAGGUUUUAUCGAGUGAUGGUAAUAAAACAGUGGUAAUAAACAGUGAUGUGAUGUAGUGUGAUUUGAGAAAUAAAAUAAA